AUACGGAGGAUCCGAGCGUUAUCCGGAUUUAUUGGGUUUAAAGGGUGCGCAGGCGGCCAUUUAAGUCAGCGGUUAAAUCGUGGGGCUCAACCCCAUUCUGCCGUUGAUACUGGGUGGCUUGAUUGCGGUCGAGGUUGGCGGAAUUCGUUGUGUAGCGGAGAAAUGCAUAGAUAUGACGAAGAACACCGAUUGCGUAGGCAGCUGACCAGAUCGCAAAUGACGCUCAUGCACGAAAGUGCGGGGAUCGAACAGGAUUAGAUACCCUGGUAGUCCGCACAGUAAACGAUGAAUACUUGUUUUCGGCGAUAUAAUGUCGGAGGCAAAGCGAAAGCGAUAAGUAUUCCACCUGGGGAGUACGCCGGCAACGGUGAAACUCAAAUGAAUUGACGGGG
Molecule: ribosomal RNA, 392 nt
Filed under: uncultured bacterium
Lineage: Bacteria
Description: partial 16S ribosomal RNA
Rfam family: Bacterial small subunit ribosomal RNA
Source: RNAcentral